This 731-nucleotide ribosomal RNA is filed under the name Miconia conocuatrecasii. RNAcentral's name for it is "eukaryotic LSU rRNA". The stretch from base 260 to 415 matches the Rfam family "5.8S ribosomal RNA". The record is from RNAcentral. Lineage: Eukaryota; Viridiplantae; Streptophyta; Magnoliopsida; Myrtales; Melastomataceae.
GGAUCAUUGUCGAAAUCGAACGGAAGAACGACCCGCGAAUCGUCAUUGCGUAGUAGACAGAGCCCGUGAGCACCUAACGCUCAUGGGUCUCGCGUCGCGUCGGCGCGGGUGUACUCGAGACCCGCGUCGUACCGGCGGACAAACAACGUCAGCACGGAUCGUGCCAAGGAGCUGCAUGGAGAGAAUCGUCGUCCCACGCCUUUGAUAGUCCUCGACGCGGGACGGGGGACGCACGCAAUCUCUACACAAAAGUCUAAACGACUCUCGGCAACGGAUAUCUCGGCUCUUGCAUCGAUGAAGAACGUAGCGAAAUGCGAUACUUGGUGUGAAUUGCAGAAUCCCGUGAACCAUCAAUUCUUUGAACGCAAGUUGCGCCCGAAGCCAUUCGGCCGAGGGCACGCCUGCCUGGGCGUCGUGAAUCCCCUUGCCCCUAGGCACCCGCAUGAGCAUUGGCGGGGACAUAUGCUCGGGCGCAGAAUAUGGUCUCCCGUGGGAUCGGCAUGCACGGCAUGUCGAGGUGCGGUUGGCCGAAAAUCGAGCAUGGCGGUGACGGGCACCACGGCGUUCGGUGGAUCGAAUGAGAUUGGCUGCGUCGUGGGCUCGGCAUGCGGCGGGCUCCGGACUUUGAAUAUCCCCGAGUGCGAUCCCAGGUCAGGCGGGGCUACCCGCUGAGUUUAAGCAUAUCAAUAAGCGGAGGAAAAGAAACUAACGAGGAUUCCCUUAGUAGCGGC